Molecule: long non-coding RNA, 1274 nt
Filed under: Triticum aestivum (bread wheat)
Lineage: Eukaryota; Viridiplantae; Streptophyta; Magnoliopsida; Poales; Poaceae
Description: long non-coding RNA (TAES_LNC021629)
Source: RNAcentral
UGUAUUCCCGAUCUGCGUGGGAUCUGAUGCUCGAUUUGUUCCUGUUUCAGUACUAGUACAGUAUGUUUGCUUGCAAAAUUUUACAGUUUGGUUGCAAGCAAGCAAACUGAACUGAAUUUGCUUCCUUGCAAACUGAACUUAGUUUCUUGCAUAUUUCAAAAUGAGAAAUCUUAUUGUCAACUCUUAUGCUGGUAGGUCACUAUUGGAACUGGUUCAUUUGGGGUUGUAUUUAAGGUAAACUUCUGACCUUGGGGUUGUAUAAACUGGUCUAUGGUGAAACUGUACAUUCAGUAAAACUUCAUUGAAUUUGAAUUGGAUGUUGAAUGCCAUUUUUUGCAUAGUGUAAACUACAAGCAGUUUGCCAUGAAAUUCUAUUUAUUUUUCACUUUUAAGAAACAAUUACUGACCAGCAGCAGUAAUAUUUAUGCAAAGUUUACUGAAAUUUUGAGCAUCUACAGUUUACUGAAAUUUUGUGUGACUUGUCAAUGAUUAUGCAGCAAAUUAAACUUGUGUUUACUUAGACUUUCUUGUGAUCUUGUUCUGCAAAGUGGUUGAAGUACCUUCUUUUUCUACCCAUCUUCCUGAAGCCUAUAUUAAAUGCAUAAUUUAUACAAAUUAUUCUAUAAGAUUUGUAAAAGCACAAAUUUCACUAUGUAAGUAUGUUGUUUUAUUUGCCCUUUCUAGUAUUGAAAUUCAGGACGGGAAAGGUGAAGUUGGAACAUACUAGUGGGUAGUCUUUGCAUUACUGUUGCCAUUGCAUUUGUUUGGUUCUGACCUCAGUAGCAGUACACUAAUGAUGUUAGUCUUUGUGUUCACUCUUUUACAGGAGCGCCAGGACCAAUUUGAAGUGCAAAGCCAUGAAGCCAAGUGCAAAGCCGUGAUGCUAGAGAUUUGUUUGUUCUGUUUGACUGUAAUAGGUUGUAGAGAUUGUAACAUUGUAAAAAAUUUAGGGUUAUUUGAUAAAUUACGUUUCUUCUGUUUUGUUUGAAAUAGUGAUUUAAAAAUGUGUGAAAUGGAAACCUGAUUAGUGGGAUCCACUUACCAAAGUAAUCUGAACAAUGUUGAAAUAUCUGAGCAAUGUUGAAAUAUCUGAUGUGUGGGACCAAUGUAUGAGAUUAUGAUAUGUGGGGCUUGUCUGACUAGUGGGCCCAGCUCCAAUAUAUAUGGCUGAAACUAGAAAAUCGAUGGAUUAAAAAGGCCACGGCCCAACAAUAAAAAAGGAUGCAAUAUUGGGUUUGGCCCAUGAACCCAACCAAAAAUUGACACAAAAAAAC